AAGUGAGGGGGGCGGGACGGGUGUACCGGGUUGUGGCGGCGAUGGCUGUCGGAGUUGGGCCGCUUGGGGGUAGUUUGGGGUGCGAGUCCAGGGGCGAGGGAAGUCUCGAGAUGAGGAGAAAUGUAGGAGGCAGCCGAAGGGCCGGCAAACGCGGACAGAGAUGGCACCUGAGCGUCCCUGGGAGAACCUGGGCGACAGGCCAGAGACCGAAAGAAAUGGAGGCACGAAAAGAAGCUUCGAGAAACUGAGGGACUGAAAGACGAGGGUGUUGGGAGAGGAGGGAAGCUGAAAACUAGAGAGCGUGGGCGAGAGUGCCGAUGGGUUCCAGCGAGAGUCUUAGAGCCCACGAGGCCGAGAGGCGUGGUCGCCCAUGAACUUGGGGAGUGGAGGGAAAAGUCGGAAACUGAUCGUGGACACUAGAAACAGAAAAAAUGGAAUUUAGAUGGAGAAACGAGACACUGAAUCACGGGGGAGACCGAGAGAUACGGAAGGAUGGAGACAGUUGAAAUAGGAAGAACCCCACAAAAGCUGGAGAUAAUGGAGAACGAUGCUGAGAAAUGGAAAAGCGAGGGAGUGGAGCCCGAACCCCUGGAUUUGAGUGGCUCAUGUAACACUCGGCUACUCACUUAGCCUCUCUAUUGCUCAGUAAAAUAGGGGGUGAUCAUAGUGCCUGACAGUCGUGAGAAAAGUGUGUGUGUGUAUGUACAUAGGUGUGGGAUAGGAAUAGAUCAUGCAGAUAGGAUAGGUCUGUGUGUUAAUGUGAGUAAGUAAGCAUGAGCUAUUACUAAAGCUUCUGAUAUUGGGAGAUAAAGUAUUAGAUGGGGAAAUGGAGAGAGGUGGUGAUGGAGAGUGAAUACUGGAAGGACAAAA
This 870-nucleotide long non-coding RNA is filed under the name Homo sapiens (human). RNAcentral's name for it is "novel transcript, sense intronic to DHX34". The record is from RNAcentral. Lineage: Eukaryota; Metazoa; Chordata; Mammalia; Primates; Hominidae.